RNAcentral lists this ribosomal RNA (253 nucleotides) under uncultured bacterium. Its description in RNAcentral is "partial 16S ribosomal RNA". It matches the Rfam family "Bacterial small subunit ribosomal RNA", at positions 524 to 776 of the family's 1533-position model. The record is from RNAcentral.
UACAGAGGUCUCAAGCGUUGUUCGGAUUCAUUGGGCGUAAAGGGCGCGUAGGCGGGCUGUCAAGUCUGGGGUGAAAUCCCGCGGCUCAACCGUGGAACUGCCUCAGAUACUGACGGCCUCGAGGGAGGUAGGGGCGAGCGGAACUGUGAGUGGAGCGGUGAAAUGCGUUGAUAUUCACAGGAACUCCGGUGGCGAAGGCGGCUCGCUGGACCUUUUCUGACGCUGAGGCGCGAAAGCUAGGGGAGCAAACGGG